This is a long non-coding RNA of Anguilla anguilla (European eel), 1461 nucleotides long. RefSeq lists it as uncharacterized. The record is from RefSeq and is a predicted model, not a curated record. NCBI's taxonomy places the organism in Eukaryota, Metazoa, Chordata, Actinopteri, Anguilliformes, Anguillidae. The transcript has 2 exons.
GCCUCUUAUUCACAUAGUAUGUACUUUGCAUUACGUUUAGGUGACAUCACGGGCUUGACGUGUGAGGACUGAGCUGUGAGGGGGUAAUUCACACUCCCCUCAAUACUGGUACUGUGAGAAGCCCUCUGCAAGGCCCACUCUUAGUGUGAGAAUCAUUUCAACCAUCUGUAAAUAUCAUCACUUUUCCCAUCUCUAAAUAUCACCUGUCCAAGGCAUGGGUAUGCAGGGGUUUUCUGGCUCCUAAUGUAUUGCUUGCUUCUGUUGGCUGUGAAUUGCUGCCCCGAUCUUUAUCAGGCUGUUUGAAGGCUAAGCUGUGUUGUUUACAUGCUUUCUGCACUGACUAGAAAAAGUUAGAGUAAUAUGAUAUUUUGUCAUGUCCCUACAUAGGGCCAGGUGUAAAAUUCACCCUUUGCACCAUAGUUUUAACACACUGCAUUUGAAAUGUAUGAUUUUGGUUUAAAAUAAAAAAUGACAUGCAUUAUGACAGUGGACAGCAUACAAGGUAUAAUACUGUAUAUCAAUAUUAGAGACCUGGGAAAACAUUAUAUUCAAGUGAAAAAAACAGCACCCUCAUUUAGUCUGUUUUGACGUUGGUGGAAUAAUCCAUCAAUCGGUGGAUGUGUUAGACUUGAUUUAGGUUCCACUGGCAUUCAUUAACCAUUACAAUGUAGGGGAAUAUCCUGUAGAUAUAAGGAUUGUGUUUCAUAGGGGCAUUCUUGCCAUUACAAUAUGUGAUGAAGGCAGUCUUUUAUAUUCAUUUGUUUCCAUUUCAUUUGAGGGGCUCACACAGAAAGUGACCCCAAGAUUAUCUUACAGUCGCUCAGGUCAUUUUUUAGGUUUUUUGAGGUAAAGAUUUUCAUUAUUUCAAUUAAAUAAAGUAUUUUUGAAAGUAUAUUUUCAUAGAUUUGGCAAUAACUAUCUACAUUUUCAUCUUCCUGACACUUAAAAAUCCAAAGAUACCCAAAACCGAAGGGUAUACAGCAAUUACCAGUGACCUGCGUGACUUUCAAGCUAUGGUAACUACAGCAAAGCAAACAAGAUUUGGUUGUGAUAAUAAUAAGUCAACAUCUUCAGGCCAAAGUUUGUUUCCUAAACAAAGAGCAGAGAAAAGGUCUUUGUAAUUUAUAAUAGGCAAGCAGUCAAAUUUACAAGAUUUGACCAGAGGUGGAAAGUCCAGGGGUCAGAAAGUAAAAGUCCUGUCAUGUGUGUCAUCCACCCAUGAAAUCAGCCAUCUGACUUCACUAAUUAGUUCUGCCAUCUAGCAGAAGAAUUGGGCAAAUUAGCAAAUACAAGUAACUGGAACAAGAUAGUGGUGAGUUACUUUCUGAAUCUAGAUUUUCCACAAAGGAUUUGACGAAACGUAUGUCUGAAAUAUAUUGUGGAUUCCUGUUUGGUCUUAUUUUAAUUCAUUAUGUCCUUAAAUGCCAACAUGACUUUAUCAUAAAUAUAUAACUGAAUACA